Molecule: ribosomal RNA, 497 nt
Filed under: uncultured bacterium
Lineage: Bacteria
Description: partial 16S ribosomal RNA
Rfam family: Bacterial small subunit ribosomal RNA
Source: RNAcentral
GACGAACGCUGGCGGCGUGCCUAAUACAUGCAAGUUGAGCGCUGAAGGUUGGUACUUGUACCAACUGGAUGAGCAGCGAACGGGUGAGUAACGCGUGGGGAAUCUGCCUUUGAGCGGGGGACAACAUUUGGAAACGAAUGCUAAUACCGCAUAAAAACUUUAAACACAAGGUUUAAGUUUGAAAGAUGCAAUUGCAUCACUCAAAGAUGAUCCCGCGUUGUAUUUGCUAGUUGGUGAGGUAAAGGCUCACCAAGGCGAUGAUACAUAGCCGACCUGAGAGGGUGAUCGGCCACAUUUGGACUGAGACACGGCCCAAACUCCUACGGGGGGCAGCCGUAGGGAAUCUUCGGCAAUGGACGAAAGUCUGACCGAGCAACGCCGCGUGAGUGAAGAAGGUUUUCGGAUCGUAAAACUCUGUUGGUAGAGAAGAACGUUGGUGAGAGUGGAAAGCGCAUCAAGUGACGGUAACUACCCAGAAAGGGACGGCUAACUACGUA